RNAcentral lists this ribosomal RNA (272 nucleotides) under uncultured bacterium. RNAcentral's name for it is "partial 16S ribosomal RNA". It matches the Rfam family "Bacterial small subunit ribosomal RNA", at positions 396 to 668 of the family's 1533-position model. The record is from RNAcentral.
GUAGCGUGAAGGAUGACUGCCUAUGGGUUGUAAACCUCUUUUAUACGGGAAUAAGUCACUUACGUGUAAGUGUUUGUAUGUACUUAUGAAUAAGCAUCGGCUAACUCCGUGCCAGCAGCCGCGGUAAUACGGAGGAUGCGAGCGUUAUCCGGAUUUAUUGGGUUUAAAGGGAGCGUAGAUGGGCUUUUAAGUCAGUUGUGAAAUUCUGCGGCUCAACCGUAGGACUGCAGUUGAAACUGGGAGCCUUGAGUGCAGUUGAGGUGCAUGGAAUU